RNAcentral lists this ribosomal RNA (403 nucleotides) under uncultured bacterium. Its description in RNAcentral is "partial 16S ribosomal RNA". It matches the Rfam family "Bacterial small subunit ribosomal RNA", at positions 30 to 526 of the family's 1533-position model. The record is from RNAcentral.
AUUGAACGCUAGCGGCAGGCCUAACACAUGCAAGUCGAGCGAGCGGCGGACGGGUGAGUAAUGUAUGGGGACUGCCCGAUAGAGGGGGAUAACUACUGGAAACGGUAGCUAAUACCGCAUACUAUCGGAUAACCCAUAUGGGAUUAGCUAGUAGGUGAGGUAAUGGCUCACCUAGGCGACGAUCCCUAGCUGGUCUGAGCGGCUGAUCAGCCACACGCGGACUGAGACACGGUCCAGACUCCUACGGAGGCAGCAGUGGGGAAUAUUGCACAAUGGGCGCAAGCCUGAUGCAGCCAUGCCGCGUGUAUGAAGAAGGCCCUAGGGUUGUAAAUUACUUUCAGUCGGGAGGCGUUACCGACAGAAGAAGCACCGGCUAACUCCGUGCCAGCAGCCGCGGUAAUUC